UACCAGCACCCCGAGUGGUCGGGACGAUUUUUGGGCCUAAAGCAUCCGUAGCCGGUCCUACAAGUCUUCCGUUAAAUCCACCUGCUUAACAGAUGGGCUGCGGAAGAUACUAUAGGGCUAGGAGGCGGGAGAGGCAAGCGGUACUCAGUGGGUAGGGGUAAAAUCCUCUGAUCCACUGAAGACCACCAGUGGCGAAGGCGGCUUGCCAGAACGCGCUCGACGGUGAGGGAUGAAAGCUGGGGGAGCAAACCGG
This 253-nucleotide ribosomal RNA is filed under the name uncultured bacterium. RNAcentral describes it as "partial 16S ribosomal RNA". It matches the Rfam family "Archaeal small subunit ribosomal RNA", at positions 474 to 727 of the family's 1478-position model. The record is from RNAcentral.